Gigantopelta aegis is the source of this 953-nucleotide long non-coding RNA. RefSeq lists it as uncharacterized. The transcript has 2 exons. Lineage: Eukaryota; Metazoa; Mollusca; Gastropoda; Neomphalida; Peltospiridae. The record is from RefSeq and is a predicted model, not a curated record.
ACAGUAAUGCCAUGACAACGCCAUAGAAACUGUAUGUGUGUGACGUCAUUAGAGACUGAGUCUGGACUCUAAAAGGUUUAUAAACACGGGCCCAGGUCAGGAUUCCUUACACGUUGAUUCGUAACGGAUAAAUAAUUGACGUCGAGCCCUUGCAACAAAAUAACCUGGUUGUUGUUGUUUGUUUGUUUUUUAAAACCAUAUUUAAAAAAAAAAUCCCGAAAAUAUCUACAGACCUUUAAAUAAUUUUGUCGAGUAUAUUAUAUAAUUUGAAAACAAACUAAACAAAAAGUCUCUACUGGCACUUAAUUAAUGUUGUUAAGUAUAUUUUAGGUUACGUACGACCUUGCAAUUGCUCGUAUUCGAAACAAAACAGUACAUAGCUCAAAUAUUAGCGUCUGAGAUUUUAUACAGUGAUUUGGUCUUAAGUGACUUUUUCUAUCGGUAUCGUUUUGAACAUAAAAAUGUCACAAAAUGACGCAAAUAUGUUAAAACGUAUGUUCAAAGUGUGUCGAGUUAAAAUACAUAGGCCUAUAUAGAGUACUACAAAUGGUUCAAGUGCAGAUACAUAGGCCUAUAUAGAGAGUUUUACAAGUUGUUCAAGUGCACACGCAUAGGUCUAUAUAUAUAGAGUAUUAAAUGUGCUUCAAGUGCAGAUACGUAGGUCUGUAUAGAAAAUUACAAAUGCGUCAAGUGCAAAUACAUAGGCCUAUACAGAUUAUUCAAAGUGCGUCAAGUGCAAAUACAUAGGUCUAUACAGAGUAUUACAAGUGCAAAUACAUGGGUCUAUAUAGAGAAGACAAUUUGUCUAUACUGAAUGUACAGAUGCAUUUUCAUCAAUGACUUUCCGUGUGUUUGACGUGUGCCAUUAUUUAUUCACUUCGCCAUUGAGUAUGAAUGCUAAAUCGUGUAUUUUGUUACUGAAUAAAAAUGUGCUGACCAAGAGUCCUUAAAAA